Pelobates cultripes (western spadefoot toad) is the source of this 203-nucleotide non-coding RNA. Lineage: Eukaryota; Metazoa; Chordata; Amphibia; Anura; Pelobatidae. The record is from the annotation of a GenBank genome assembly.
CUGAAUGAAAAUGAGGUGUGGUUAGGGCUGCAUAAACAUAAACAAAAGUGAUUUAACUCCUAAAUGGCAGAGAAUUGAGAAGUGAAACUUGAGGCAUGAUAUAUACACAAUAACUGCUUCAUAAAGCUAACAUUGUUUUGAUGGCUAGUGUCCCUUUAACUACUGCAUAAUAUGUGUGUGCUUAACAAAUGCUACGAUAAUAC